CAAAGGGCCCUUUUUAGGGCCACCAACAGGUUUCGAUUGUGUAUG
Octopus bimaculoides (California two-spot octopus) is the source of this 45-nucleotide non-coding RNA. The record is from Rfam. NCBI's taxonomy places the organism in Eukaryota, Metazoa, Mollusca, Cephalopoda, Octopoda, Octopodidae.